Molecule: ribosomal RNA, 557 nt
Filed under: uncultured archaeon
Lineage: Archaea
Description: bacterial SSU rRNA
Rfam family: Archaeal small subunit ribosomal RNA
Source: RNAcentral
ACGUGGAUAAUCUGCCCUAAGGUGGAGAAUAACCUCGGGAAACUGAGAAUAAUACUCCAUAGGUCUAGGAUGCUGGAAUGCACUUAGGCUUAAAACUUCGGUGCCUUAGGAUGAGUCUGCGGACUAUCAGGUUGUAGUCAGGGUAAAGACCUGACUAGCCUACGACGGAUACGGGUUGUGAGAGCAAUAACCCGGAGAUGAUAUCUGAGACACGAUAUCAGGCCCUACGGGGCGCAGCAGGCGCGAAAACUUCGCACUGCGCGAAAGCGCGACGAGGGAAUCCCAAGUGUAUGCACGUAAGUGUAUACUGUUUCUCUGUCUAAAAAGCAGAGAGAGUAAGAGCUGGGUAAGACGGGUGCCAGCCGCCGCGGUAAUACCUGCAGCUCGAGUGGUGAUCGUUAUUAUUGGGCCUAAAACGUCCGUAGCCGGUCUUCUAAAUGCCUAGGUAAAUCGUAUGGCUUAACCAUACGAAUUCUGGGUAGACUGUUAGACUUGAGACCGGGAGAAGCUAGAGGUACUCCUGGGGUAGAGGUGAAAUUCUGUAAUCCUAGGGGGAC